ACAGCAGCAGCCGCGGUAAUACAGAGGUUGCGAGCGUUAAUCGGAUUUACUGGGCGUAAAGCGUGCGUAGGCGGCUUUUUAAGUCGGAUGUGAAAUCCCUGAGCUUAACUUAGGAAUUGCAUUCGAUACUGGGAAGCUAGAGUAUGGGAGAGGAUGGUAGAAUUCCAGGUGUAGCGGUGAAAUGCGUAGAGAUCUGGAGGAAUACCGAUGGCGAAGGCAGCCAUCUGGCCUAAUACUGACGCUGAGGUACGAAAGCAUGGGGAGCAAACAGGAUUAGAUACCCCGGUAGUACCUGUCUCUUAUAC
This 305-nucleotide ribosomal RNA is filed under the name uncultured bacterium. RNAcentral describes it as "partial 16S ribosomal RNA". It matches the Rfam family "Bacterial small subunit ribosomal RNA", at positions 505 to 807 of the family's 1533-position model. The record is from RNAcentral.